ACCAUUCCGGUGAAGAGGAAUAGUAAUCAAGACUCCAAAUUUGUUAGAGAGGAGAGGCCGUGGCUGUAAGCCCUCCAAAUUUGCCUUGAUGAAUGAACACCUUGGAGGAGUUUUUCUGAAAAGUUUCGAACUGAGUAGGAAAAGACGUUUCGUAGGCGUUAACUACUUGAAAAGUGGAGUUUUAUUUAAAACUCAAUGAGGGUGGCACCACGGGAAUAUAAAUCUCGUCCCUGAU
RNAcentral lists this non-coding RNA (235 nucleotides) under Alkalihalobacillus pseudalcaliphilus. RNAcentral's name for it is "Bacillus pseudalcaliphilus T-box sequence". It matches the Rfam family "T-box leader". Rfam says of the family: Uncharged tRNA acts as the effector for transcription antitermination of genes in the T-box leader family. T-boxes are found upstream of many aminoacyl-tRNA synthetase genes and some amino acid biosynthetic genes usually in Gram-positive bacteria. The record is from RNAcentral. Lineage: Bacteria; Bacillati; Bacillota; Bacilli; Caryophanales; Bacillaceae.